Molecule: small nuclear RNA, 165 nt
Organism: Rattus norvegicus (Norway rat)
Lineage: Eukaryota; Metazoa; Chordata; Mammalia; Rodentia; Muridae
Product: U2 spliceosomal RNA
Source: Ensembl
AUCGCUUCUCGGCCUUUUGGCUAAGAUCAAGUGUAGAAGCCCUGACUAAGACAAGCAUCUCUUUUAAGGUACAUUUGGCUGUUCCUAUAACUACUUGUCCUAUGGGAUGCGGUAUACCAGCAACAUGUUUUAUAUUGUAAUGUGUGAAGAAUUGUUGCAUCUUAU